Molecule: ribosomal RNA, 301 nt
Filed under: uncultured bacterium
Lineage: Bacteria
Description: partial 16S ribosomal RNA
Rfam family: Bacterial small subunit ribosomal RNA
Source: RNAcentral
CAGUCGCCGCGGUAAUACGAAGGGUGCAAGCGUUACUCGGAAUUACUGGGCGUAAAGCGUGUGUAGGUGGUUGUUUAAGUCUGUCGUGAAAGCCCUGGGCUCAACCCUGGACAGGCGGUGGAAACUACCAUGCUGGAGUACGGUAGGGGCAGAGGGAAUUUCCGGUGGAGCGGUGAAAUGCGUUGAGAUCGGAAAGAACACCAGUGGCGAAGGCGACUCUCUGGUCUGUAACUGACGCUGAGGAGCGAAAGCGUGGGGAGCGAACAGGAUUAGAUACCCGAGUAGUCCCUGUCUCUUAUAC